Molecule: ribosomal RNA, 195 nt
Filed under: Sticta sp.
Lineage: Eukaryota; Fungi; Ascomycota; Lecanoromycetes; Peltigerales; Lobariaceae
Description: 5.8S ribosomal RNA
Rfam family: 5.8S ribosomal RNA (bases 3-156)
About the family: 5.8S ribosomal RNA (5.8S rRNA) is a component of the large subunit of the eukaryotic ribosome. It is transcribed by RNA polymerase I as part of the 45S precursor that also contains 18S and 28S rRNA. Functionally, it is thought that 5.8S rRNA may be involved in ribosome translocation.
Source: RNAcentral
AAAACUUUCAACAACGGAUCUCUUGGUUCUGGCAUCGAUGAAGAACGCAGCGAAAUGCGAUAAGUAAUGUGAAUCGCAGAAUUCAGUGAAUCAUCGAAUCUUUGAACGCACAUUGCGCCCCUUGGUAUUCCGAGGGGCAUACCUGUUCGAGCGUCAUUACACCCCUCACGCCCCCCCCCUUCGGGCGUGGUCUUG